UGAUCCUGGCUCAGGACGAACGCUGGCGGCGUGCUUAACACAUGCAAGUCGAACGAUGAAGAGGAGCUUGCUCCUUGGAUUAGUGGCGAACGGGUGAGUAACACGUGAGCAAUCUGCCCUUGACUCUGGGAUAAGCGUUGGAAACGACGUCUAAUACCGGAUACGACCCUCGGAGGCAUCUCCUGGGGGUGGAAAGAAUUUUGGUCAAGGAUGAGCUCGCGGCCUAUCAGCUUGUUGGUGAGGUAAUGGCUCACCAAGGCGACGACGGGUAGCCGGCCUGAGAGGGUGACCGGCCACACUGGGACUGAGACACGGCCCAGACUCCUACGGGAGGCAGCAGUGGGGAAUAUUGCACAAUGGGCGAAAGCCUGAUGCAGCAACGCCGCGUGAGGGACGACGGCCUUCGGGUUGUAAACCUCUUUUAGUAGGGAAGAAGCGAAAGUGACGGUACCUGCAGAAAAAGCACCGGCUAACUACGUGCCAGCAGCCGCGGUAAUACGUAGGGUGCAAGCGUUGUCCGGAAUUAUUGGGCGUAAAGAGCUCGUAGGCGGUUUGUCGCGUCUGCUGUGAAAACCCGAGGCUCAACCUCGGGCCUGCAGUGGGUACGGGCAGACUAGAGUGCGGUAGGGGAGAUUGGAAUUCCUGGUGUAGCGGUGGAAUGCGCAGAUAUCAGGAGGAACACCGAUGGCGAAGGCAGAUCUCUGGGCCGUAACUGACGCUGAGGAGCGAAAGCAUGGGGAGCGAACAGGAUUAGAUACCCUGGUAGUCCAUGCCGUAAACGUUGGGAACUAGAUGUGGGGACCAUUCCACGGUCUCCGUGUCGCAGCUAACGCAUUAAGUUCCCCGCCUGGGGAGUACGGCCGCAAGGCUAAAACUCAAAGGAAUUGACGGGGGCCCGCACA
RNAcentral lists this ribosomal RNA (902 nucleotides) under uncultured bacterium. Its description in RNAcentral is "bacterial SSU rRNA". It matches the Rfam family "Bacterial small subunit ribosomal RNA", at positions 14 to 927 of the family's 1533-position model. The record is from RNAcentral.